Molecule: signal recognition particle RNA, 281 nt
Filed under: Saimiri boliviensis boliviensis (Bolivian squirrel monkey)
Lineage: Eukaryota; Metazoa; Chordata; Mammalia; Primates; Cebidae
Description: Metazoan signal recognition particle RNA (ENSSBOG00000008971.1)
Rfam family: Metazoan signal recognition particle RNA
About the family: The signal recognition particle (SRP) is a universally conserved ribonucleoprotein. It is involved in the co-translational targeting of proteins to membranes. The eukaryotic SRP consists of a 300-nucleotide 7S RNA and six proteins: SRPs 72, 68, 54, 19, 14, and 9.
Source: RNAcentral
GCCUGUGGUCCCACCUACUUGGGAGGCUGAGGCUAGAGAAUGGCUUGAGUCCAGGAGUUCUGGGUUAUAGUGCACUAUGCCUAUCAGGUGUAGGCACUAAGUUCGACAUCAAUAUGGUGAACUCCUGGGAGCAGGGGACCAGCAGGUUGCCUAAGGACGGGUGAAGCGGCCCAGGUCAGAAACCCUAGCAGGUCAAAACUCCCAUGCUGAUUAGUAGUAGGAUUGCACUUGUGAAUAGCCACUGCACUCCAGCCUGGGCAACACAGCAAGACUCCUUCUCA